This 468-nucleotide ribosomal RNA is filed under the name uncultured bacterium. Its description in RNAcentral is "partial 16S ribosomal RNA". It matches the Rfam family "Bacterial small subunit ribosomal RNA", at positions 28 to 507 of the family's 1533-position model. The record is from RNAcentral.
GACGAACGCUGGCGGCGUGCUUAACACAUGCAAGUCGAACGGAAAGGCCCUGCUUUUGUGGGGUGCUCGAUUGGCGAACGGGUGAGUAACACGUGAGUAACCUGCCCUUGACUUUGGGAUAACUUCAGGAAACUGGGGCUAAUACCGGAUAGGAGCUCCUGCUGCAUGGUGGGGGUUGGAAAGUUUCGGCGGUUGUGGAUGGACUCGCGGCUUAUCAGCUUGUUGGUGGGGUAGUGGCUUACCAAGGCUUUGACGGGUAGCCGGCCUGAGAGGGUGACCGGCCACAUUGGGACUGAGAUACGGCCCAGACUGCUACGGGAGGCAGCAGUGGGGAAUAUUGCACAAUGGGCGGAAGCCUGAUGCAGAAACGCCGCGUGCGGGAUGACGGCCUUCGGGUUGUAAACCGCUUUCGCCGGUGACGAAGCGUGAGUGACGGUAAUGGGUAAAGAAGCACCGGCUAACUACGUG